ACGGAAGGUAGCAGUGGGGGAUAUUGGACAAUGGGGGAAACCCUGAUCCAGCGACGCCGCGUGAGUGAAGAAGUAUUUCGGUAUGUAAAGCUCUAUCAGCAGGGAAGAAAAAGCGCAAGCAUUGACAGUACCUGACUAAGAAGCCCCGGCUAACUACGUGCCAGCAGCCGCGGUAAUACGUAGGGGGCAAGCGUUAUCCGGAUUUACUGGGUGUAAAGGGAGCGUAGGCGGUACGGCAAGUCAGAUGUGAAAGCCCGGGGCUCAACCCCGGGACUGCAUUUGAAACUGUCGAACUAGAGUAUCGGAGAGGUGAGUGGAAUUCCAAGUGUAGCGGUGAAAUGCGUAGAUAUUUGGAAGAACACCGGUGGCGAAGGCGGCUCACUGGACGAUAACUGACGCUGAGGCUCGAAAGCGUGGGGAGCAAACAGGAUUAGAUACCCUGGUA
Molecule: ribosomal RNA, 445 nt
Filed under: uncultured Mobilitalea sp.
Lineage: Bacteria; Bacillati; Bacillota; Clostridia; Lachnospirales; Lachnospiraceae
Description: partial 16S ribosomal RNA
Rfam family: Bacterial small subunit ribosomal RNA
Source: RNAcentral